Hordeum vulgare subsp. vulgare (domesticated barley) is the source of this 986-nucleotide long non-coding RNA. RefSeq lists it as uncharacterized. NCBI's taxonomy places the organism in Eukaryota, Viridiplantae, Streptophyta, Magnoliopsida, Poales, Poaceae. The record is from RefSeq and is a predicted model, not a curated record. The transcript has 2 exons.
AUCCCCAUCCAGCCGCCAAUGACCACCUCCCUCUCCGACAACCGGCGAGCUCCCCACUCCCAGACUCGUCGGCGACCUUCCGGCCUCCGCCUUCUACGCCACCCUUCUCUCCCUACACCCCAGAUCGAAUCCAGCAGCUCAGGACGAAACCCUAGCUCGAUGCCAUGGCCACACCAGCAGCAGUCCCUCCCUCCCUAGCCCGCGGCCAUGGCGACCUAGCAGGCAAGAGGAACCUGAACCCUAUCACCGGCCAUGGCGAGCGUGGAAGGCACCAUGGGAGAGGAGGCAUGUGCUGCUGCUCAAGACCCUAAACCAGAAAGGAAGCUCUUCCUCACCUCACCUUUUCUCUCUCCCUGAUCGAGCACCUUCGCCAUGGGAGAGGAAGGUUGUUUCAUCCGCCUGCUGUACUGCUGCUCUAGGGGACAUGCACCUGCUUGUUGUGCUGCUGCUCUGUACGCCAUGGACAUCCCUCCUCUGGUUCUCCUCGCUCGUCAAGGUAGUAAGCUGCUCUAACCCAUCUUCCCCUCUCAAAUUCGGUACAAGAAAAUGAUUUUUGUAACUGGACAUCAAAAGCAGAACCGGUGUGUGUUGUUGGUCAAGCAAGAAGAAAGAAAAAAGGCAUCCGUUGCCUGCAAAACAAAUCUGUGUGUGUGCUGCUCUCCUCCUCCUCUGUUUUUGCUUGUGUCAAUUUGCUCCAACAGCUUGCGCGCGUGUGUGCAUCCAUUGGGAGAGAGAGAGGCUCUUGCCAACACCUCUACAAUCUCACCGGAGUUCUAUUUUUCUGUGAUGUUGCCUAUUUUGUUGUUGAAAUUGACCGUAUCCCUGUGUCAAAUGGAUAUUUUUUCCUCCAUUGAAAUGAAGCAUAUUGCUUUUGAGUGCGCACAUUGACAUUACUGUGGAAUAAAAUGUUCAUUAUAUGCUCUUCUGUUGAAUAACGUGUAAAACAGGUCCAGCCAUUUGCCAAGUCUAUUAUAUUUGUUCUAAAA